This 437-nucleotide ribosomal RNA is filed under the name uncultured bacterium. RNAcentral describes it as "partial 16S ribosomal RNA". It matches the Rfam family "Bacterial small subunit ribosomal RNA", at positions 29 to 507 of the family's 1533-position model. The record is from RNAcentral.
AGCGAACGCUGGCGGCAGGCUUAACACAUGCAAGUCGAGCGGGCAUCCUUGUGGUGUCAGCGGCAGACGGGUGAGUAACGCGUGGGAACGUGCCCUUCGGUUCGGAAUAACUCAGGGAAACUUGAGCUAAUACCGGAUACGUGCUAGAGCAGAAAGGUUUAUCUGCCUAAGGCUCGGCCCGCUUCUGAUUAGCUAGUUUGGGAGGUUAUGGCUCACCAAGGCGACGAUCAGUAGCUGGUCUGAGAGGAUGAGCAGACACACUGGGACUGAGACACGGCCCAGAAUCCUACGGGAGGCAGCAGUGGGGAAUACUGGCAAAUGGGGGCAACCAUGAUCCAGCCAUGCUGCGUGAGUGAUGACGGCCUUAGGGUUGUAAAGCACGUUUCUACGGGACGAUAAUGACGGUACCGGAGGAAUAAGCCCCGGCUAACUUCGUG